This is a long non-coding RNA of Anguilla rostrata (American eel), 284 nucleotides long. RefSeq lists it as uncharacterized. Lineage: Eukaryota; Metazoa; Chordata; Actinopteri; Anguilliformes; Anguillidae. The transcript has 2 exons. The record is from RefSeq and is a predicted model, not a curated record.
CAUAAAAUAGAGUUUGUUGUCACAUGACCAUGGGCCUCAUUUAUAAAAAUGUUCUUAGAUUUAUACUUGAACUUAGUCUUAAGAUCAUUUCCGACGGUGUGCUUACGUUCGAUUCAUAAAAGAUACUGAGCGUGGGGCAGCAAGACAUAACUGUGGCUGAUCUGAAAAAGAAGUGGUCUGACCUUAAACUGCAAGGGGAAAAAAAUAGCCAUACAUAACCAGCAGGAAAAUCACUUACGUCAAGUCUAGACUUUGCGUAGAGAUAAGAUCAUUUCCAUGUCAAA